UACGGGGGGGGGAAGCGUUGUUCGGAAUUACUGGGCGUAAAGGGCUCGUAGGCGGCCAACUAAGUCAUACGUGAAAUCCCUCAGCUUAGCUGGGGAACUGCGUGUGAUACUGGAUGGCUUGGAUUUGGGAGAGGGAUGCGGAAUUCCAGGUGUAGCGGUGAAAUGCGUAGAUAUCUGGAGGAACACCGGUGGCGAAGGCGGCAUCCUGGACCAAUAUUGACGCUGAGGAGCGAAAGCUAGGGGAGCAAACGGG
RNAcentral lists this ribosomal RNA (253 nucleotides) under uncultured bacterium. RNAcentral describes it as "partial 16S ribosomal RNA". It matches the Rfam family "Bacterial small subunit ribosomal RNA", at positions 524 to 776 of the family's 1533-position model. The record is from RNAcentral.